This 497-nucleotide ribosomal RNA is filed under the name uncultured bacterium. RNAcentral describes it as "partial 16S ribosomal RNA". It matches the Rfam family "Bacterial small subunit ribosomal RNA", at positions 28 to 507 of the family's 1533-position model. The record is from RNAcentral.
GAUGAACGCUGGCGGCGUGCUUAAUACAUGCGAGUCGAGCGAACAGAUGAGGAGCUUGCUCCUCUGACGUUAGCGGCGGACGGGUGAGUCACACGUGGAUAACCUACCUAUAAGACUGGGAUAACUUCGGGAAACCGGAGCCAAUACCGGAUAAUAUAUUGAACCGCAUGGUUCAAUAGUGAAAGACGGCUUUGCUGUCACGUAUAGAGGGUUCCGCGCCGCAUUGGCUAGUUGGUAAGGUAACGGCUUACCAAGGCAACGAUGCGUAGCCGACCUGAGAGGGUGAUCGGCCACACUGGAACUGAGCCACGGACCAGACUCCUACGGGAGGCAGCAGUAGGGAAUCUUCCGCAAUGGGGGAAAGCCUGACGCAGCAACGCCGCGUGAGUGAUGAAGGUCUUCGGGUCGUAAAACUCUUUUAUUAGGGAAGAACAAAUGUGGAAUUAGCUAUACACGUCUUGACGGUACCUGAUCAAAAAGCCACGGCUAACUACGUG